AUGGUGGCCUGCUCCUUGCCCAGCCCUCCAACAACUGUUUCUUCUGUUUCAGGAGCCUUGGAAUUCCUGCCAGGGAAUGGGCAGUCAGUCAUUGGAGCUGCAGGGCUGCCUGGAAGCAUGGCUCAUCCCAGCACAGCAGGUUGGAGCAUGUGGGCCAGAUGCAGCUUUGCCAUCACACCUGCUCUCAGGAAGAGCUCUUCCUGCUCAGCUGUGACAAACCCAGCAGCAGCUUAGUGUUGAUGGGGGUAGCCAGCCCCUUAAGUGUGUGGUUCUGUGUGUACUGAUUGUUUAAAUAAAACAUCUCUGCACAGAACA
RNAcentral lists this long non-coding RNA (315 nucleotides) under Chelonoidis abingdonii (Abingdon island giant tortoise). RNAcentral describes it as "lncRNA (ENSCABG00000021799.1)". The record is from RNAcentral. Lineage: Eukaryota; Metazoa; Chordata; Testudines; Testudinidae.